This 270-nucleotide ribosomal RNA is filed under the name uncultured Burkholderiales bacterium. RNAcentral's name for it is "partial 16S ribosomal RNA". It matches the Rfam family "Bacterial small subunit ribosomal RNA", at positions 505 to 774 of the family's 1533-position model. Lineage: Bacteria; Pseudomonadati; Pseudomonadota; Betaproteobacteria; Burkholderiales. The record is from RNAcentral.
GUGCCAGCCGCCGCGGUAAUACGUAGGGUGCGGGCGUUAAUCGGAAUUACUGGGCGUAAAGCGUGCGCAGGCGGCUUUGCAAGACAGAGGUGAAAUCCCCGGGCUCAACCUGGGAACUGCCUUUGUGACUGCAAGGCUAGAGUACGGCAGAGGGGGAUGGAAUUCCGCGUGUAGCAGUGAAAUGCGUAGAUAUGCGGAGGAACACCGAUGGCGAAGGCAAUCCCCUGGGCCUGUACUGACGCUCAUGCACGAAAGCGUGGGGAGCAAACA